UUAGGCUCAUUCUAGAAAGGUACUCUUGUGUCAUGUUUGUCAUGUGUUUCCUUUAUCUUGAACAGUGGGGUGGCCUCUGAAAUUAAACCAAAGUCUCAGCGUGUUCUCUUCAAAUAUAAGCCAGAGAACUCAGCCAAAAAUGCACUUGGUGUUCCAACUGAUGCUGAGCUGGUUGGUCCAAAUGGCGAAGAUGUGGCCGGCAACACGGUGGGUUCGAUUAGCGAAGACAUCACUCAGAAGGACAAAUUGGACCAGGCUGGCAUCCUUGUUGAGAAAGAUGAGCUAACACUGUCUGAUGAAAGAAACAAUGCAAAGAGUGUAUGUUGUUUUCAUAUCUGAACCAUCUGUGCCUGUUAUUGCCCCAGCAAGUGCGGGCAAGAAAGGCAGGAAGAAGCAAUCCCUUCUACUAGAACGAACAUCGUAUUUUGGUGAUGCGAACCUUUUGGAAAUAACUGCCGUGGUUGAAGGGUCUUUUUUCAGUACAAGUGUACUAGCGAUUCCCCUGCUUGUGCUCCGGCUCGCAGGCACUUACUGCCAAAUCACUUGGUUGCUUCUGGCCGACGAUGGCUGCUAUUAAGGCCAUCUCGCUGUCUAUCCGGACUGUCAGGCUAUGUGGACACAGACUGUCUUUUGAUCAGGUAGAAUUAUACUUGGGUUUCCUUUCCAUUGUUCCAUUUUUCUUGACGGGAAACUACGGCGGGCUUACGCCAGCCUGAACUUAUAUUAGCCAGGGAGAGAUGACAACAUUCAGGGAGUUACAUAGGCUGAAGAAAAUGAAAGAUUACAAGGGGGCAGCCCCCCAACAAAUAGCAAAUGAUAGCUUAAGUUCUCUCAGAUAAAUGAUACAACAUGGUGCCCCAAUCCUCUCCAGAUCGUAGUAGAGUGGGGUACAGAUCCUCAUCGUGAGCACGGAAGACCAUAGAAUUUCUCCCUUCCAAAUAGACCAAAGAAUGGCAAUGAUGGCUGUAGAGCGAACUUUGUGCAUCGAAGAGUUAGACCCAAUUUUCUUGAAUGCGUUCGACUUCGGGAGGACGAAGGAGUGGAUUGUCCCAAAUCAAUUGGAUGGAUUGGCAGUUCAGCAGUAAGUGACUUGAGGUUUGAGGCUCAUCGCAAAAUGGGCAAGUAUCGGAGCUCGACAUCCCAUGCCGGAAACGCCGGUCAUUUGUAAAUAGUCUGUCCUGAAAGGCGAGCCAAGUGAACAACCGACACCUGUUUGGCGCAUAGUUCUUCCAAGUAGCUGUGGCAUACCUGUCCUCAGACCUAGCUGCAAACACAGAAGCAUAUUAAUGCUGAUCUUGCCGAGAUGGGCUUGUUGUUGAUACGUCCAACACGGCGGUCGCUAGAGGGUUCAGAGUUACGGUGCCAAUCAUAACGCGCAGCGCAGCAAGUUGAUGUUCCGCAGUGGUGGAAAUCCUAGGGGCGAAGGUCCAAACACAAAACUGGGUCACCGAGAACCCUAGCCACGGAAGCAUUCGGCCUAGUAGAGUGAGAGAAAAUAGCAGGAAAUCCCUUGUUCCAUUUCUUUAUUCCAGUCCCCGUAUUUAUGUGCAUUGCCUUCUUCUUCUUCUUCUUCUUCUGAUUUAUUAUAUGUUUUGUGCUUUUUUUCUGUCAUAAUACUGGAAUAACCAGCUUUUGCUUUGGUGGGCUGAAGUUGUGAUUUUUACCCAGUUCCAUCUGGUCUGUUAUAUUUUCUAAAUAGAAGAUUGUUACAUGUCUUUACAGGAUGUGUCGGCCCAGGCCCAGCAUCCGACAUGGACAUGGGUAGCUAUCAAGGCAUAUUCCGUCUGCAAUUCUUGAGUGUGCAUGGGAGCUCAAUCCUUGAGCUAGGGCUGUGCAGGGAUGACUGAUGUGUCGCUCUUGUUGCAUUGCAUCGAACACCCUCCUUGCUCCACUUGCUGUCCGCAUGGGAACUGGAACACUGCAUUUUGUGUCUAAUUCCACAAGAUUGUUUUGUUUCUCAGUCGAUCUAUAUCCAGACACACGCAUACUGUGCGUGCAGUCAACAACCGUCAGGCCCAAGUCCAUUUGGCAUGACACCCUGCAACAACUUUUGAAAUGAAUGAUUUUGAUUGAUUUUGUAGAGUGCUUCCUCGGCUUCCACCACCGUCCCGGCCGGCUCCCGCUCCCCUAGGACGACCUACCUGGCCUGGCCAUAUGUAGUCGGAUGCGCGAAAGCACCACCGCAGAUCAGGGAAGACGGGAUUUGGCGCGCGUCGUGGUGCCCGUGUGGCGGAGCCCGACGCGGCAUGCCCAUGCGAGCAGCAGCAGCAGCAACAAAGGCGACAGACACCAACGUUAACGGUUGGUGGAGACACUGCUCCUUUGCCCAUACGCUGCAUCUUGAUCCGUAUAAAUACUUCGUCCCCCAUUAUGUGCAGCUAGAAACAUCUCAAAAAGUCAUGUAAACGAGUCACAUGUUUCAUCAAACUAGUAAG
Triticum aestivum (bread wheat) is the source of this 2435-nucleotide long non-coding RNA. RefSeq lists it as uncharacterized. The transcript has 4 exons. NCBI's taxonomy places the organism in Eukaryota, Viridiplantae, Streptophyta, Magnoliopsida, Poales, Poaceae. The record is from RefSeq and is a predicted model, not a curated record.